UAAAGAUUCAUCGCUGAUAGAUAGGCAUGCGUUCCAUUAGGCAGUUGGCGGGGUAACGGCCCACCAAACCGACGAUGGAUAGGGGUUCUGAGAGGAAGGUCCCCCACAUUGGUACUGAGACACGGACCAAACUCCUACGGGAGGCAGCAGUGAGGAAUAUUGGUCAAUGGGCGUAAGCCUGAACCAGCCAAGUCGCGUGAGGGAUGAAGGUUCUAUGGAUCGUAAACCUCUUUUAUAAGGGAAUAAAGUGCGGGACGUGUCCCGUUUUGUAUGUACCUUAUGAAUAAGGAUCGGCUAACUCCGUGCCAGCAGCCGCGGUAAUACGGAGGAUCCGAGCGUUAUCCGGAUUUAUUGGGUUUAAAGGGUGCGUAGGCGGCCUUUUAAGUCAGCGGUGAAAGUCUGUGGCUCAACCAUAGAAUUGCCGUUGAAACUGGGAGGCUUGAGUAUGUUUGAGGCAGGCGGAAUGCGUGGUGUAGCGGUGAGAUGCUUAGAUAUCACGCAGAACCCCGAUUGCGAAGGCAGCCUGCCAAGCCAUGACUGACGCUGAUGCACGAAAGCGUGGGGAUCAAACAGGAUUAGAUACCCUGGUAGUCCACGCAGUAAACGAUGAUCACUAGCUGUUUGCGAUACACAGUAA
RNAcentral lists this ribosomal RNA (637 nucleotides) under uncultured bacterium. RNAcentral's name for it is "bacterial SSU rRNA". It matches the Rfam family "Bacterial small subunit ribosomal RNA", at positions 202 to 842 of the family's 1533-position model. The record is from RNAcentral.